GCCAGGUGUGGUGGCACAUGCCUGUAUUCCCAGCUACUCAGGAGGCUAAGGGAGGAAGGUUGGCUUGAGCCCAAGAGUUCUGGGCUGUAGUGUGCUAUGCCCACUGGGUGUCUGCACUAAGUUCAGCAUCAAUAUGGUGACCUUCUGGGAGUGGGGAACCACCAGGUAGCCUAAGGAGGGUUGAACCUGCCCAGGUUAAAAUAGAACAGAUAAGAAUUCUGUGCUGAUAAGUAGUGAGAUCCAACCUGUAAAUAGCCACCACACUCCAGCCUGGGCAACAUAGUAAGAGACCUUGUCUCU
Unclassified non-coding RNA from Pan paniscus (pygmy chimpanzee), 300 nucleotides. It matches the Rfam family "Metazoan signal recognition particle RNA". Rfam says of the family: The signal recognition particle (SRP) is a universally conserved ribonucleoprotein. It is involved in the co-translational targeting of proteins to membranes. Lineage: Eukaryota; Metazoa; Chordata; Mammalia; Primates; Hominidae. The record is from Ensembl.